This 489-nucleotide ribosomal RNA is filed under the name uncultured soil bacterium. Its description in RNAcentral is "bacterial SSU rRNA". It matches the Rfam family "Bacterial small subunit ribosomal RNA", at positions 26 to 479 of the family's 1533-position model. The record is from RNAcentral.
AGGACGAACGCUGGCGGCGCGCUUAACACAUGCAAGUCGAGCGAGAACCGGGGCUUCGGCCCCGGGGACAGCGGCGAACGGGUGAGUAACACGUGGAUAACCUGCCCUCGGCACCGGGAUAGCCCGGGGAAACCCGGAUUAAUACCGGAUGGCCCUUCCGACUUUCGAGUCGGUUGGCAAAGGUAGCUUCGGCCUCCGGCCGAGGAUGGGUCCGCGGCGGAUUAGCUUGUUGGUGGGGUAAUGGCCUACCAAGGCUUCGAUCCGUAGCUGGUCUGAGAGGACGAUCAGCCACACUGGGACUGAGACACGGCCCAGACUCCUACGGGAGGCAGCAGGUGGGGAAUCGUUGCGACAAGUGGGACGAAAGCCGUGACGCAGCGACGCCGGCGUAGGAGGGACGGACGGCCGUUCGGUUACGUAAACCUUCGUUUACUAGGAGGGACGAAGACUACGUACGGUUAAGUACGACCGAGAGGUCGGAACGGUACC